AUUGAACGCUGGCGGCAUGCCUAACACAUGCAAGUCGAGCGAGCGGCGGAAGGGAUAGUAAUGUAUGGGGAACUGCCCGAUAGAGGGGGAUAACUACUGGAAACGGUGGCUAAUACCGCCUACUACCGGCGGAACCCAUAUGGGAUUAGCUAGUGGGUGGGGUAAAGGCUCACCUCGGCGACGAUCUCUAGCUGGUCUGAGAGGAUGAUCAGCCACACUGGGACUGAGACACGGCCCAGACUCCUACGGGAGGCAGCAGUGGGGAAUUUUGGACAAUGGGGGAAAGCCUGAUGCAGCCAUGCCGCGUGUGUGAAGAAGGCCUUAGGGUUGUAAAGUACUUUCAGCGGGGAGGCGGUACCCGCAGAAUAAGCACCGGCUAACUACGUGCCAGCAGCCGCGGUAAUAC
RNAcentral lists this ribosomal RNA (406 nucleotides) under uncultured bacterium. Its description in RNAcentral is "partial 16S ribosomal RNA". It matches the Rfam family "Bacterial small subunit ribosomal RNA", at positions 30 to 526 of the family's 1533-position model. The record is from RNAcentral.